This is a non-coding RNA of Dermacentor albipictus, 417 nucleotides long. NCBI's taxonomy places the organism in Eukaryota, Metazoa, Arthropoda, Arachnida, Ixodida, Ixodidae. The record is from RefSeq and is a predicted model, not a curated record.
GGAAACUUAGGACCGAGAAGCUAACAUGUAUGCUCUGCUUGCAUUGAUUACAGCGGCAGUUUUCGUUGCCUGUAAUGCAUGGCGACAACAACGCGGUCUAUAAAAAGGAGAUGUGCCAAACUCCUAACUUUACUAAGUGGAAAGACUGCGAUGGCAUCAAUGCUGGCUACUACUUCAACGAAAGAAGAGGACGUUGUGUUGUACUUACAGACACUGGUUGCGAAAACCAAACGCUGUAUUCUACGCGCUAUGCCUGCGCCACAGGGUGCAACUCAACGGAAGGAGCACAACAUUGUGCACAUGAUCCCACAAGUCCUUGUACCAGCACACAUCCGAGGGGCAAGAAAAGAUUCUUUUACAACAUAACGUCGCGCAUGUGCACUCAGUACCGGAGAUGCGGAAGUGGUCACCUUUCAU